RNAcentral lists this ribosomal RNA (479 nucleotides) under uncultured bacterium. RNAcentral describes it as "partial 16S ribosomal RNA". It matches the Rfam family "Bacterial small subunit ribosomal RNA", at positions 28 to 507 of the family's 1533-position model. The record is from RNAcentral.
GAUGAACGCUAGCGGGAGGCCUAACACAUGCAAGCCGAGCGGUAUUGUUUCUUCGGAAAUGAGAGAGCGGCGUACGGGUGCGUAACACGUGUGCAACCUGCCUUUAUCUGGGGGAUAGCCUUUCGAAAGGAAGAUUAAUACUCCAUAAUAUAUUGAACGGCAUCGUUUAAUAUUGAAAGCUCCGGCGGAUAGAGAUGGGCACGCGCAAGAUUAGCUAGUUGGUGAGGUAACGGCUCACCAAGGCGAUGAUCUUUAGGGGGCCUGAGAGGGUGAUCCCCCACACGGGUACUGAGACACGGACCAGACUCCUACGGGAGGCAGCAGUGAGGAAUAUUGGUCAAUGGGUGCAAGCCUGAACCAGCCAUCCCGCGUGAAGGACGACUGCCCUAUGGGUUGUAAACUUCUUUUGUAUAGGGAUAAACCUACCCUCGUGAGGGUAGCUGAAGGUACUAUACGAAUAAGCACCGGCUAACUCCGUG